GACUUAUCAUGCAGCUCCAUAGGCCCAAGAGAUGCAAUAAUGUAACAGACAAGAUCUUUUAAGUGUCCACGCAUCAGGAAUGGGGCAGGACGUGUUGGACAUGCCUUUCCUCCGCAAUGCCUGUGGCCUCAGGUGGAACACUCAAAGUCUGGGGGCAGAAAUCACCGGAAGAUUUACUCACAUACAUCUAGUGGUUGAUUCUGGCCUUGGGUCACAGAUCUGGCCAGUCCCAGGCUUCCUUACAUCAUAGCUCUGGAUUCUGAG
Long non-coding RNA from Panthera uncia (snow leopard), 264 nucleotides. RefSeq lists it as uncharacterized. The record is from RefSeq and is a predicted model, not a curated record. The transcript is spliced from 2 exons. Lineage: Eukaryota; Metazoa; Chordata; Mammalia; Carnivora; Felidae.